Long non-coding RNA from Lynx canadensis (Canada lynx), 175 nucleotides. RefSeq lists it as uncharacterized. The transcript is spliced from 2 exons. The record is from RefSeq and is a predicted model, not a curated record. Lineage: Eukaryota; Metazoa; Chordata; Mammalia; Carnivora; Felidae.
GUUGUUUUUCCCUUCUUCCUCUUUAAGUUUUUUUUCAAGCAAAACAAUACACUGUUUCAUCCAGCAACAGUAGGGAUUUUAAAAGGUGCGGCCCACCUUGCUAAGGUCUUUGGCAGUCACACUGUCGUCAUCCCGGCAAGGCAAGCGAUGCACAAACGCCAACAUCUGAUACUUG